UAGGAUUUCAUGAAAUCAUAACCCGGAACCAGCUGUCAUAAUCUAGAGCAAAAACAAAAAACAAAGAAGGAUUUGGGGAAGAUCCUAUUCUUCCCUGUAUUUCAAUCAUACACCCGCCGUUGACAGCACUCGCCAACGUCAUUGCUACUUACCGAUCAACAGGUCCCGCCGCCGUUGGAGCAAGCAAGGAUCUCACCUUUCCGGCCGAAAUCUGAAAUGAAAUCCCAUCUCUUUCAUCGAAUAUUUUCAGGGCAGC
RNAcentral lists this long non-coding RNA (256 nucleotides) under Linum usitatissimum (flax). RNAcentral describes it as "long non-coding RNA (LUSI_LNC005860)". Lineage: Eukaryota; Viridiplantae; Streptophyta; Magnoliopsida; Malpighiales; Linaceae. The record is from RNAcentral.